RNAcentral lists this ribosomal RNA (468 nucleotides) under uncultured bacterium. RNAcentral's name for it is "partial 16S ribosomal RNA". It matches the Rfam family "Bacterial small subunit ribosomal RNA", at positions 28 to 507 of the family's 1533-position model. The record is from RNAcentral.
GACGAACGCUGGCGGCGUGCUUAACACAUGCAAGUCGAACGGAAAGGCCCUGCUUUUGUGGGGUGCUCGAGUGGCGAACGGGUGAGUAACACUUGAGUAACCUGCCCUUGACUUUGGGAUAACUUCAUGAAACUUGGGCUAAUACCGGAUAGGAUCUCCUGCUGCUUGGUGGGGGUUGGAAAGUUUCGGCGGUUGGGGAUGUACUCGCGGCUUAUCAGAUUGUUGGUGGGGUAGUGGCUUACCAAGGCUUUGACGGGUAGCAGGCCUGAGAGGGUGACCGGCCAAAUUGGGACUGAGAUACGGCCCAGACUACUACGGGAGGCAGCAGUGGGGAAUAUUGCACAAGGGGAGGAAGCAUGAUGCAGCAAAGCAGCGUGCGGGAUGACGGCCUUCGGGUUGUAAACCGAUUUCGCCUGUGACGAAGCGUGAGUGACGGUAAUGGGUAAAGAAGCACCGGCUAACUACGUG